GGGGCAGCUCACAGAUGGCUUCCCUGUUUAUCAAAUGGGGAUGAUAAGCCUCACUCCUAGGGUUCUGUUAAGGCUCAAAUGCAAUAAGGGAACUGCGAGCUCUUGAAAGACAGUGUAAGUGGAAAGUAUUUGUAUGAAACGCUCUUUCUAAAGAGUAUUGAUGGAAACAUCUUUAUGCAGCCGUGCACAUCGGUACUGAACUGUUGAUUCACUUCUUAGCUGUCAUUAGCUGCUGAUUCCAGCCUGUUGGUCUAGCCUGUGGGCACAAUAGAGGAGCUCACAACAAUGGCGGGUCUGAGUGAUCCGGUGCACCCAGGGGCCCGCCUCCCGGAAAUCACUGCCCUCCGGUUCCCCGGAUCAGCGACUCGCACUGCAGAGUCUCAGGGUGAUCAAUGCGUCCAGCCUGAGGUUAUUACAAAAUAUUGAGCAUAUUUCCUUGUGCCCUCCUCUGUUCAUGGAAUUCUCCAGGCAAGAAUAUUGGAGUGAGUUGCCAUUUCCACCUCCACGGGAUCUUCCCGGCCCAGGGAUGGAACGCGUGUCUCUUGCAUUGCAGGCAGAUUCUUCAUGGCCUGAGACACCAGGGAAGACAAUGCCAUGUUGAGAGAGCCACAGUACUGAACACUUGUUGCUUCUGUUUGAAGUUUUUGGAGAGGCUCUCUAGAAGAGUUUGUUAAUAUUCAUUUAUUCUUCUAGCAUUUAUUGAGCAUCUACAGUGUGGUGGGUACUAUGUACAUCCUGGAGAUGAGAUCAAGAGACACAGUAUCUGAAGGAGUUUAAUAUCUAAAGGGUGCUAGACUUGCAAAUAAACACCAAGACAGCUGCCCUAAUUGAGUGUCU
This 837-nucleotide long non-coding RNA is filed under the name Bos indicus x Bos taurus (hybrid cattle). RNAcentral's name for it is "lncRNA (ENSBIXG00005024392.1)". Lineage: Eukaryota; Metazoa; Chordata; Mammalia; Artiodactyla; Bovidae. The record is from RNAcentral.